Molecule: non-coding RNA, 147 nt
Organism: Podarcis lilfordi (Lilford's wall lizard)
Lineage: Eukaryota; Metazoa; Chordata; Lepidosauria; Squamata; Lacertidae
Source: the annotation of a GenBank genome assembly
AUACUUAGAGUUGGAAGAGACCACAAGGGCCAUCGAGUCCAACCCCCUGCCAAGCAGGAAACACCAUCAGAGCACUCCUGAUGCUGUUUCCUGCUUGGCAGGGGGUUGGACUCGAUGGCCCUUGUGGUCUCUUCCAACUCUAUGAUU